RNAcentral lists this ribosomal RNA (261 nucleotides) under Salmonella enterica subsp. enterica serovar Kentucky. RNAcentral's name for it is "partial 23S ribosomal RNA". It matches the Rfam family "Bacterial large subunit ribosomal RNA", at positions 646 to 909 of the family's 2925-position model. The record is from RNAcentral. Lineage: Bacteria; Pseudomonadati; Pseudomonadota; Gammaproteobacteria; Enterobacterales; Enterobacteriaceae.
UUAACCGUAUAGGGGAGCCGCAGGGAAACCGAGUCUUAACCGGGCGUUAAGUUGCAGGGUAUAGACCCGAAACCCGGUGAUCUAGCCAUGGGCAGGUUGAAGGUUGGGUAACACUAACUGGAGGACCGAACCGACUAAUGUUGAAAAAUUAGCGGAUGACCUGUGGCUGGGGGUGAAAGGCCAAUCAAACCGGGAGAUAGCUGGUUCUCCCCGAAAGCUAUUUAGGUAGCGCCUCGUGAAUUCAUCUCCGGGGGUAGAGCA